RNAcentral lists this long non-coding RNA (1162 nucleotides) under Cyanistes caeruleus (blue tit). RNAcentral's name for it is "lncRNA (ENSCCEG00000009803.1)". The record is from RNAcentral. Lineage: Eukaryota; Metazoa; Chordata; Aves; Passeriformes; Paridae.
GGGCUAUAUGUGGGUGUAAGGGGCUGUAUUUAAAUAUGAGAUAUUACAAAGGACUAAAUUUCUGGGUUUAGAGAAAUGUAAUCCCUAAUUUAAAAUAGUCUCCCUAUGAAGGAAGCCUAUUAAAGGCAUGUUUAUCUUUGGAGAAAUCCUUUGAUUCAAGUUUUGAAGGACUUUGAAAGCACUGCACAGAGUAAGCAAAAAUAACAGCAGCUCCCUCACCAACCAUGUUGAUACAAAGCAGAUUCUGUAAAACUCAUCUUUUCACUUGGUGUUUUCUGCUAACAAGUGGGCAGCAGGAUGACUAGGAGAAGUAUCUUUUGGCAGGUCACCAAAUCUAGAAACUGGGGCUAGUGUGGAAAUCCAUUUUUACAACACUGAAAGGGACAGGAUAAUUUUCUGUUAGUCUUCUCCACAGUCCAAAAAAGUACAAAUGCCCAAGUGAGGUUUUGGAUGAUAGGUUCCUAAAACCAUAACUGUCAAUGCUUAAGGAUGAAGUGUAAGAACCAAAAUAGGAAUGGAUACUGGGGAAGUGACUUUUUAAAAAAAUAACUGCAGAGAUAAAUUCAGCAUGUGUAGGUUGGCUCCAAAAGUCUCACAAGGGAGAGUUUUGGUUUGUUUUUUAUUUGCUUUUUUAAUUUUUUUUUUCUAUUUCUUCAAUCUUUCUUUUAAAUGUCCAAGUUUGGAAGACAGAGAAAAGAAGCAGAGGUGUGCUUGAAUCAGCAGGAGGGGUUGGGUUCAACAUUGAUUGAAGGUGUUUGGUGGAGCUGCAUCAGAGACCUGUCCACCUCUCUGUGCAGAAACCAGGAUGUCAGCAGAGAUGAGACCUCUAGAACAGCACUGGCAAACCAUGCAAACUGAAAUCCCCUAAGGAUUAUAAAAAAGUACCUCAAUAGCAAAGAAUGCUAAUACAGCUUUAGCAGGUAAGUUUCUCUGCUUCUUAAACUGAUCAGUGAGGAUUUUGGCAGUUUCUAUAACAUCAGAGCAUGUUACACAUUUCCAUGCAGUAUGGAACAUAACCUCACAUCCCAGCUCUGAGGUAAGUACCCAAGAUUAUCCCCAUCUUAAAGAGUAGAAAGUCAGGUCUUUCUGACUUUAAUAUGACAUAAAAUGAUUAACCUACAAAUCCAAUAAAGAAACUAGGUGCCUAAAAUGAUGCUUAAGA